Molecule: ribosomal RNA, 497 nt
Filed under: uncultured bacterium
Lineage: Bacteria
Description: partial 16S ribosomal RNA
Rfam family: Bacterial small subunit ribosomal RNA
Source: RNAcentral
GAUGAACGCUGGCGGCGUGCCUAAUACAUGCAAGUCGAGCGAACAGAUAAGGAGCUUGCUCCUUUGACGUUAGCGGCGGACGGGUGAGUAACACGUGGGUAACCUACCUAUAAGACUGGGAUAACUUCGGGAAACCGGAGCUAAUACCGGAUAACAUUUGGAACCGCAUGGUUCUAAAGUGAAAGAUGGUUUUGCUAUCACUUAUAGAUGGACCCGCGCCGUAUUAGCUAGUUGGUAAGGUAACGGCUUACCAAGGCGACGAUACGUAGCCGACCUGAGAGGGUGAUCGGCCAAACUGGAACUGAGACACGGUCCAGACGCCUACGGGAGGCAGCAGUAGGGAAUCUUCCGCAAUGGGCGAAAGCCUGACGGAGCAACGCCGCGUGAGUGAUGAAGGGGUUCGGCUCGUAAAACUCUGUUAUUAGGGAAGAACAAAUGUGUAAGUAACUGUGCACGUCUUGACGGUACCUAAUCAGAAAGCCACGGCUAACUACGUG